Sorex araneus (European shrew) is the source of this 107-nucleotide small nuclear RNA. The record is from Ensembl. Lineage: Eukaryota; Metazoa; Chordata; Mammalia; Eulipotyphla; Soricidae.
GUGCUCACUCUGGCAGCACAUAUACUAAAAUUGGAAGAUACAGGGAAGAUUAGCACGGCGCUGGGGCGAGGAUGACAUGCAAAUUGGUAUACAUAUAUAAAAUAAAU